GUUUCACUGCAUCAAGCAAAGGUAUGUUGAUCUCCACUUUUCUAAAGGUUUCAAGGAUCUCUCUUUCUUCUUUUUCUUUUUGUGAUUUUUCAAAUCUUUUUGGAAAGGGAGGUGGAAUCUUGAAGCUUACUUGCUAGUUUGUAUUCUACUAGUGUACUGGUUCUGCUUGACCAGUUUGUUUGGGCAAACAGUUUUCUGGCUGUUUUUCUUCAGCAGCUUGUCUUUGCACUUGUGAAC
RNAcentral lists this long non-coding RNA (237 nucleotides) under Manihot esculenta (cassava). Its description in RNAcentral is "long non-coding RNA (MESC_LNC011121)". The record is from RNAcentral. Lineage: Eukaryota; Viridiplantae; Streptophyta; Magnoliopsida; Malpighiales; Euphorbiaceae.